This is an RNA transcript of Cercocebus atys (sooty mangabey), 423 nucleotides long. It is a transcript of the gene named 10 kDa heat shock protein, mitochondrial pseudogene, with no coding region annotated. NCBI's taxonomy places the organism in Eukaryota, Metazoa, Chordata, Mammalia, Primates, Cercopithecidae. The transcript has a single exon. The record is from RefSeq and is a predicted model, not a curated record.
GGCGAGCGCGCCUGCGCGCUGGGCGGGUUUUUCACGUGUCGCCAGGGCUGCACCGCGAGUCUCUCCUUGCGGCGCUACACUAGAGCAGAGUACGAGUCUGAGGCGGAGGGAGUCAUGGCAGGACAAGCGUUUAGAAAGUUUCUUCCACUCUUUGACCGAGUGUUGGUUGAAAGGAGUGCUGCUGAAACUGUAACCAAAGGAGGCAUUAUGCUUCCAGAAAAAUCUCAAGGAAAAGUAUUGCAAGCAACAGUAGUCGCUGUUGGAUCGGGUUCUAAAGAAAAGGGUGGAGAGAUUCAACCGGUUAACAUGAAAGUUGGAGAUAAAGUUCUUCUGCCAGAGUAUGGAGGCACCAAAGUAGUUCUAGAUGACAAGGAUUAUUUCCUAUUUAGAGAUGGUGACAUUCUUGGAAAGUACCUAGACUGA